UAGAUAGAGAAAAAAGUGGGAAGAUUCAAUUUUGGUAUCGCACACACCGUAAAGAGGGGAGACUUUAAGAGCUCUAUCUCUAGAGGGGCUUAUGCGCUCCACUCCCUGUCUACUAAAUGAGUGUGUUAGAGCGAGCGAGUGUGAAAAACCCUGCUACUCCACUACCGAGCAGAGGUAAAAAUACGAUAAGUAGAUACAUAAUUUCGAGUG
This 210-nucleotide long non-coding RNA is filed under the name Linum usitatissimum (flax). RNAcentral's name for it is "long non-coding RNA (LUSI_LNC004833)". Lineage: Eukaryota; Viridiplantae; Streptophyta; Magnoliopsida; Malpighiales; Linaceae. The record is from RNAcentral.